CCGCACAGCAAACACCCAAGUGAGCUCUGUAGCUUCCUUGGCAUAACUCUGUGCCACAGUAUAUCAUUAGCUGUCCUUUACCCUCUGCAUUGGAAGGUAUCCUGAUCCUUUUAAAUGUAUUCAAAAGGACAGCACACGC
This is a small nucleolar RNA of Anolis sagrei ordinatus, 139 nucleotides long. RefSeq annotates it as small nucleolar RNA SNORA22. Lineage: Eukaryota; Metazoa; Chordata; Lepidosauria; Squamata; Anolidae. The record is from RefSeq and is a predicted model, not a curated record.